UACGGGGGGGGUAAGCGUUGUUCGGAAUUACUGGGCGUAAAGGGCUCGUAGGCGGCCAACUAAGUCAUACGUGAAAUCCCUCAGCUUAACCUGGGAACUGCGUCUGAUACUGGAUGGCUUGAAUUCGGGAGAGGGAUGCAGAAUUCCAGGUGUAGCGGUGAAAUGCGUAGAUAUCUGGAGGAAUACCGGUGGCGAAGGCGGCAUCCUGGACCGAGAUUGACACUGAUGAGCGAAAGCUAGGGGAGCAAACGGG
This 253-nucleotide ribosomal RNA is filed under the name uncultured bacterium. RNAcentral describes it as "partial 16S ribosomal RNA". It matches the Rfam family "Bacterial small subunit ribosomal RNA", at positions 524 to 776 of the family's 1533-position model. The record is from RNAcentral.